GUCGGGCUCAUAACCCGAAGGUCGUAGGUUCAAAUCCUACCCCCGCAACCA
Molecule: transfer RNA, 51 nt
Filed under: Burkholderia pseudomallei 1258a
Lineage: Bacteria; Pseudomonadati; Pseudomonadota; Betaproteobacteria; Burkholderiales; Burkholderiaceae
Description: partial tRNA-Met
Rfam family: tRNA
About the family: Transfer RNA (tRNA) molecules are approximately 80 nucleotides in length. Their secondary structure includes four short double-helical elements and three loops (D, anti-codon, and T loops). Further hydrogen bonds mediate the characteristic L-shaped molecular structure. tRNAs have two regions of fundamental functional importance: the anti-codon, which is responsible for specific mRNA codon recognition, and the 3' end, to which the tRNAs corresponding amino acid is attached (by aminoacyl-tRNA synthetases). tRNAs cope with the degeneracy of the genetic code in two manners: having more than one tRNA (with a specific anti-codon) for a particular amino acid; and 'wobble' base-pairing, i.e. permitting non-standard base-pairing at the 3rd anti-codon position.
Source: RNAcentral